This is an RNA transcript of Oryza sativa Japonica Group (Japanese rice), 1323 nucleotides long. RefSeq lists it as uncharacterized. NCBI's taxonomy places the organism in Eukaryota, Viridiplantae, Streptophyta, Magnoliopsida, Poales, Poaceae. The record is from RefSeq and is a predicted model, not a curated record.
CAGAAAAAAUUCACCGCAUUCUUCUGCUCCACUGAGCACUCCCCCUGGCCACAUGCAUCUCGCCGCCGCCGACCACCCCCACCGCGGCGGCGGCGGCCGCGCCGCCCUCGGCCUCGGCCUCGGCCACCUCGCGGCCGCGGCGCUCCGCCGGGAGCACCGGCGCCGCGCGCUCGCCGGGGGGGCCGUCCUCGCCUCGGCGCUGCUCCUGGUGGCCACGCCGCGGCUCCGCCACUCCCCCGCGCUCCACCUCUUCGCCGACAUGCGCAACCUCCUCGGCGUCCCCAACACGCUCAACGUGCUCACCGCCUACCCGCUCCUCCUGGCGGGCGUGCCCGGGCUCGUCCUCUGCCUCUGUGGCAGUGGGUGCUUCGGCAUCAGCUUGAGAUGGGAGGCCUUGGGAUGGUUCCUCUUCUAUGCUGGGAAUGUAGCAGCAGCAUUUGGCUCGGCUUACUAUCACCUCAAACCAGAUGAUGACCGCUUAAUUUGGGACAGGUUGCCGAUGAUGAUAUCAGCUUCUUCAAUGUUGUCUAUAUUGGUAAUUGAAAGAGUUGAUGAAAGGGCUGGGUUAUCUUGUUUGCUAUCACUCUUAUCUCUCAUACUGGUGAGCAGCGCAUGUGAAAGGGUUCUUGAUGAUAUGCGGUUAUGGGUAGUUUUGAAUUCCGCUCCUUGCAUUGCAAUUCCUGCAAUGCUAUUCUUGUUUCCUCCAAAAUAUACACACUCAAGAUUUUGGUUUCUUGCCACAGGUUUUUACCUUCUUGCAAGAUUUGAAGGCCUUGCUGACAGAAAGGUAUACAGUGUGAACCGGUACUUCAUCAGCGGCCAUUCCUUGGAGCACCUUUGCUUCGCGAUGGUUACCUUGAUUCUUACUGUGAUGCUGUCCUUCAGAAAUGUUAAGAUCGUCAGGUACAUUUUUUGAACGGCUGUUCCAUAGAAUAGUUCUGCUCAACCUUUUUCCAUAUUAUGAUAGGUCUAGCAACUCAAGGACAUGAUCGCUCUACACUUCCAGUAAAUAAGACUCAUGACAUCCUCUGCUGGUCAGGGAUCAUCUCAAAGUUCUGAAUGUUCAGAAGACGGCCACCGAUGCAGCUGACAAAAACUUUCUUCACAGCUAACUCAUCUACCUUAUCCUUGUUUUUUUUUUUCCCUUGGUUUCCAUUCUCUCCUACACCCUGAUGUGUUCCAGAUUGAUGUGCCCCUCCCUGACUUUGUAUGUUCAUGUUGUAAUUUGUGAAGCAACCCAGAAUUGUACGUGUUUUGUUAACUUUUGAGGGUAAAAAAAAAGGUACUUAACGGCGAGAUUGCAGUGCUAAUUUUUGCCCUGAA